RNAcentral lists this ribosomal RNA (492 nucleotides) under uncultured bacterium. RNAcentral's name for it is "partial 16S ribosomal RNA". It matches the Rfam family "Bacterial small subunit ribosomal RNA", at positions 29 to 507 of the family's 1533-position model. The record is from RNAcentral.
AGUGAACGCUGGCGGUAGGCCUAACACAUGCAGGUCGAACGGCAGCACAGUAAGAGCUUGCUCUUACGGGUGGCGAGUGGCGGACGGGUGAGGAAUACAUCGGAAUCUACUUUUUCGUGGGGGAUAACGUAGGGAAACUUACGCUAAUACCGCAUACGACCUACGGGUGAAAGCAGGGGAUCUUCGGACCUUGCGCGAUUGAAUGAGCCGAUGUCGGAUUAGCUAGUUGGCGGGGUAAAGGCCCACCAAGGCGACGAUCCGUAGCUGGUCUGAGAGGAUGAUCAGCCACACUGGAACUGAGACACGGUCCAGACUCCUACGGGAGGCAGUAGUGGGGAAUAUUGGACAAUGGGCGCAAGCCUGAUCCAGCCAUACCGCGUGGGUGAAGAAGGCCUUCGGGUUGUAAAGCCCUUUUGUUGGGAAAGAAAAGCAGCAGGUUAAUACCCCGCUGUUCUGACGGUACCCAAAGAAUAAGCACCGGCUAACUUCGUG